This 465-nucleotide ribosomal RNA is filed under the name Vreelandella stevensii. RNAcentral's name for it is "partial 16S ribosomal RNA". It matches the Rfam family "Bacterial small subunit ribosomal RNA", at positions 338 to 795 of the family's 1533-position model. Lineage: Bacteria; Pseudomonadati; Pseudomonadota; Gammaproteobacteria; Oceanospirillales; Halomonadaceae. The record is from RNAcentral.
CCUACGGGUGGCAGCAGUGGGGAAUAUUGGACAAUGGGCGAAAGCCUGAUCCAGCCAUGCCGCGUGUGUGAAGAAGGCCUUCGGGUUGUAAAGCACUUUCAGUGGGGAAGAAAGCCUUGGGGCUAAUACCCUCGAGGAAGGACAUCACCCACAGAAGAAGCACCGGCUAACUCCGGGCCAGCAGCCGCGGUAAUACGGAGGGUGCGAGCGUUAAUCGGAAUUACUGGGCGUAAAGCGCGCGUAGGCGGUCUGAUAAGCCGGUUGUGAAAGCCCCGGGCUCAACCUGGGAACGGCAUCGGAAACGGUCAGGCUAGAGUGCAGGAGAGGAAGGUAGAAUUCCCGGUGGAGCGGUGAAAUGCGGAGAGAUCGGGAGGAAUACCAGUGGGGAAGGCGGCCUUCUGGACUGACACUGACGCUGAGGUGCGAAAGCGUGGGUAGCAAACAGGAUUAGAUACCCCUGUAGUC